AACGAACGCUGGCGGCAUGCCUAACACAUGCAAGUCGAACGAGACCUUCGGGUCUAGGGGCGCACGGGUGCGUAACGCGUGGGAACCUGCCCUUAGGUUCGGAAUAACUCCCCGAAAGGGGUGCUAAUACCGGAUAAUGUCUUCGGACCUAAGAUUUAUCGCCUUUGGAUGGGCCCGCGUUGGAUUAGCUAGUUGGUAGGGUAAAAGCCUACCAAGGCGACGAUCCAUAGCUGGUCUGAGAGGAUGAUCAGCCACACUGGGACUGAGACACGGCCCAGACUCCUACGGGAGGCAGCAGUGGGUAAUAUUGGACGAGGGGCGAAAGCCUGAUCCAGCAAUGCCGCGUGAGUGAGGAAGGCCUUAGGGUUGUAAAGCUCUUUUACCCGGGAUGAUAAUGACGGUACCGGGAGAAUAAGCUCCGGCUAACUCCGUG
Molecule: ribosomal RNA, 433 nt
Filed under: uncultured bacterium
Lineage: Bacteria
Description: partial 16S ribosomal RNA
Rfam family: Bacterial small subunit ribosomal RNA
Source: RNAcentral